UGAAAUCUGUUCUAGAUAUAUGAUCUUUUGCUGAUUUUGAAAUAAAGAUAAAUUAGUAGAUCAGUUCCACUUUUAUGCAAAUGAGCUUAAUUAUGAUGUAUUCAUGGCUUUCAAAUUAGAACAUGAGCUCACUCUACAUGUCAUUAGAUAAAGGAUCAUAUAAUUCCUCUUGGUUUGUUUUCAAUCUCAUAAAAGAUUACUGAUUGUUCAAGCUUCUUUCGGCGUACAGAGUCGUUAGGUGCCUUCUAAUUGGUAACAGAUUUUGCAAUUUCUCAUCUAGUAGCAUUGAUUGUUUGAAUAUCUUGCUUCCAUAUCAAGAUUUCUCAUUUUUCUGUUCCCUCUUUUUCUUUUUUUCUUUGUGAUUUUCACUGUUUAUAAGGAUACUAAUUCAUAUACAGAAGAAGGAGAAAAAGAAGAAUAAAGAAGCUGCUCAGGAAGGAAGAAGUGCAGCCACUUCAGCUGCUUACAGAACAUUGGCACAAGAGCUCACUGAACAGCAGUUUCCCGCACCCUGUAUCCUGGCGUUCAAAGACAUGCCUCAACAAUUGAAAGUGAGGCUUCUAGAAGAGGUGGGAGAGCACGAUAGAGAACGGAUUGUCUGUAAGCACGAUAUUUUCAUGCCAUAGAUUGUGUCAUGAGUUUCUUGGGUUUGAAACUAUUGAUAUAUGGUUUUUUAUUUGAUUUCUUUGUUGAUAUAUGUGUGGAUGUGAUCUUUUAUAUUUUAUUUUUAAGUUUACGACUUCCUGGCUAUUUAUAUGAUGUUUUUGUUUAUAUGAAUGAAUAUUCCUUUGAUGUUGUUUAUUGAUUUUAUAAUUUGUGUUAGAAACUAGGAAGUAUUCCUUGUGGUUAUUUCAUUUGAUUAUGCUAACUUAAAUUUGAUAUGAAUGCCAAUGAGUUAAUUUCAGUUCAUUAAUAAGUGCUCCAAAUGUACUCUUAGAGUUUCCUACAUACCUUCACAUCUUUGCAAUUCAAUUUAAUAAGUUCUCCACUAUUCCUUCAUGUUUUCUUUGGAUUGCAAAAGAAAAUUAUUAGAAAUG
Magnolia sinica is the source of this 1037-nucleotide long non-coding RNA. RefSeq lists it as uncharacterized. NCBI's taxonomy places the organism in Eukaryota, Viridiplantae, Streptophyta, Magnoliopsida, Magnoliales, Magnoliaceae. The transcript is spliced from 3 exons. The record is from RefSeq and is a predicted model, not a curated record.